RNAcentral lists this ribosomal RNA (473 nucleotides) under uncultured bacterium. RNAcentral's name for it is "bacterial SSU rRNA". It matches the Rfam family "Bacterial small subunit ribosomal RNA", at positions 791 to 1260 of the family's 1533-position model. The record is from RNAcentral.
UAGUCCACACUGUAAACGCUGUCUACUAGCUGUUUGUGCUUUUAAAGCGUGAGUAGCGCAGCUAACGCGAUAAGUAGACCGCCUGGGGAGUACGGCCGCAAGGUUAAAACUCAAAUGAAUUGACGGGGGGCCCGCACAAGCGGUGGAGCAUGUGGUUUAAUUCGAUGCAACGCGAAGAACCUUACCUACACUUGACAUGCAGAGAACUUUCUAGAGAUAGAUUGGUGCCUUCGGGAACUCUGACACAGGUGCUGCAUGGCUGUCGUCAGCUCGUGUCGUGAGAUGUUGGGUUAAGUCCCGCAACGAGCGCAACCCUUGUCCUUAGUUGCCAGUAUUAGGUUGGGCACUCUAAGGAGACUGCCGGUGACAAACCGGGAGGAAGGGUGGGGACGACGGUCAAGUCAUCAUGGCCCUUACGUGUAGGGGCUACACACGUGCUACAAUGGCAUAUACAGAGGGAAGCGAGACAGUGA